This 407-nucleotide ribosomal RNA is filed under the name uncultured bacterium. RNAcentral describes it as "partial 16S ribosomal RNA". It matches the Rfam family "Bacterial small subunit ribosomal RNA", at positions 30 to 526 of the family's 1533-position model. The record is from RNAcentral.
AUUGAACGCUGGCGGCAGGCCUAACACAUGCAAGUCGAGCGGAGCGGCGGACGGGUGCGUAAGGCCUAGGAAUCUGCCUGUUUGUGGGGGAUAUGGUCCGGUACGGGGAACUAAUACCGCCUACUCUCACAUGAGGCUAGGUCGGAUUGGCGAGUGGGUGGGGUAAAGGCUUACCAAGACGACGAUCCGUAACUGGUCUGAGAGGAUGAUCAGUCACAGUGGGACUGAGACACGGUCCAGAAUCCGCCGUGAGGCAUAAGUGUGGAAUAUUGCACAAUGGGCGCAAGCCUGAUGCAGCCCUGCCGAGUGUGUGAAGAAGGUCUUCGUGUUGUAAAGCACGUUCAGUUGGGAGGCGUUACCCACAGAAUAAGCACCGGCUAACUUCGUGCCAGCAGCCGCGGUAAUAC